RNAcentral lists this ribosomal RNA (253 nucleotides) under uncultured bacterium. Its description in RNAcentral is "partial 16S ribosomal RNA". It matches the Rfam family "Bacterial small subunit ribosomal RNA", at positions 524 to 776 of the family's 1533-position model. The record is from RNAcentral.
UACGUAGGUGGCAAGCGUUGUCCGGAUUUACUGGGCGUAAAGAGCGCGCAGGCGGUCGUUCAAGUCGCGUGUGAAAGCCCCCGGCUCAACUGGGGAGGGUCACGCGAUACUGAUCGACUCGAAGGCAGGAGAGGGUAGUGGAAUUCCCGGUGUAGUGGUGAAAUGCGUAGAUAUCGGGAGGAACACCAGUGGCGAAGGCGACUACCUGGCCUGUUCUUGACGCUGAGGAGCGAAAGCUAGGGGAGCGAACAGG